AGUGAACGCUGGCGGUAGGCCUAACACAUGCAAGUCGAACGGCAGCACAGUAAGAGCUUGCUCUUACGGGUGGCGAGUGGCGGACGGGCGAGGAAUACAUCGGAAUCUACUUUUUCGUGGGGGAUAACGUAGGGAAACUUACGCUAAUACCGCAUACGACCUACGGGUGAAAGCAGGGGAUCUUCGGACCUUGCGCGAUUGAAUGAGCCGAUGUCGGAUUAGCUAGUUGGCGGGGUAAAGGCCCACCAAGGCGACGAUCCGUAGCUGGUCUGAGAGGAUGAUCCGCCACACUGGAACUGAGACACGGUCCAGACUCCUACGGGAGGCAGCAGUGGGGAAUAUUGGACAAUGGGCGCAAGCCUGAUCCAGCCAUACCGCGUGGGUGAAGAAGGCCUUCGGGUUGUAAAGCCCUUUUGUUGGGAAAGAAAAGCAGCAGGUUAAUACCCCGCUGUUCUGACGGUACCCAAAGAAUAAGCACCGGCUAACUUCGUG
This 492-nucleotide ribosomal RNA is filed under the name uncultured bacterium. RNAcentral's name for it is "partial 16S ribosomal RNA". It matches the Rfam family "Bacterial small subunit ribosomal RNA", at positions 29 to 507 of the family's 1533-position model. The record is from RNAcentral.